AGCAAACCAGGAACUUGCACAACUAGAGCUAAUAAGUCGUAUAUGUGGGAGUCCGUGUCCUGCAGUAUGGCCUGAUGUAAUCAAACUGCCAUAUUUCAACACCAUGAAACCAAAGAAGCAAUAUCGGCGGAAGUUAAGAGAAGAGUUUGUUUUGUAAGAAAGGGAUGCUUAAAUAUCCAUAUUGCAUUGAAUGCUUAUUUUGUAGUCAAAUUUGUUUCUUUGGUCUUUCAUUAUAAUUGAAGGCAGAGUUUCACAGACUGACCCUGAAUUGUCUAUGUAGCUUAGGAUGGUCUUGAACUUGUAACCUUCCCUGCCUCGUAAGUGCUGAGGUCAUGGGUGUGCCCUAAUUUUUUGAGAGAUCUAAGUCCCCUUGACCUGAGAUAGACACACUGCAGCUCUUCUUCCAGAGCCUUGUGCUGUGAGUUUCUCUUUGCUGCACGUGAAAUGCCUUUUCUCUCAUAACGUCUGUGAUGAGCCAUUAGAUUUUGUUUAUACAAAGAAAACUUUUAAUAAUAGUGUUGUAAAUUUCAUUAAAACAGCUUUCAUACGACUUGAGCUUAGGUUUUUAUUUUAUUUUAGGCUGUUAGUUUUUAAUUUAUAACCAUGAAUUUCUCAGAGAGUAAUGAAGGAUAUUAUUUGCUAAAUAGUCCAGCACUGUAUAAAAAUAACAAUACUUUUUGAAAAGAAAAUUGAUACUUGUGCAACAUACUGAAUACAUUAUUUAACCAAUAUUUCAUUAACACUUAACUGAUUAAUAAAUGUUUUAAAAUAUC
This 773-nucleotide long non-coding RNA is filed under the name Rattus norvegicus (Norway rat). RNAcentral describes it as "long non-coding RNA NONRATT012499". The record is from RNAcentral. Lineage: Eukaryota; Metazoa; Chordata; Mammalia; Rodentia; Muridae.